GAUCAUGGCUCAGGAUGAACGCUAGCGGCAGGCCUAACACAUGCAAGUCGAGGGGCAGCACGGUGUAGCAAUACACUGGUGGCGACCGGCGCACGGGUGCGUAACGCGUAUGCAACCCACCCAUAACAGGGGGAUAACACUGAGAAAUUGGUACUAAUACCCCAUAACAUCAGGACCGGCAUCGGUUCCGGUUGAAAACUCCGGUGGUUAUGGAUGGGCAUGCGUUGUAUUAGCUGGUUGG
Molecule: ribosomal RNA, 241 nt
Filed under: uncultured bacterium
Lineage: Bacteria
Description: partial 16S ribosomal RNA
Rfam family: Bacterial small subunit ribosomal RNA
Source: RNAcentral